RNAcentral lists this transfer RNA (70 nucleotides) under Dipodomys ordii (Ord's kangaroo rat). It matches the Rfam family "tRNA". Rfam says of the family: Transfer RNA (tRNA) molecules are approximately 80 nucleotides in length. Their secondary structure includes four short double-helical elements and three loops (D, anti-codon, and T loops). Lineage: Eukaryota; Metazoa; Chordata; Mammalia; Rodentia; Heteromyidae. The record is from Rfam by way of RNAcentral.
GGGACGGUGACUCAGUGGUAGAGCGCUUGCCUUGCAUGCAUGAGGGCCGGGGUUCGAUUCCUCCGCACCA